GAUGAACGCUGGCGGCGUGCCUAAUACAUGCAAGUCGAGCGAACAGGCGAGGAGCUUGCUCCUCUGACGUUAGCGGCGGACGGGUGAGUAACACGUGGAUAACCUACCUAUAAGACUGGGAUAACUUCGGGAAACCGGAGCUAAUACCGGAUAAUAUAUUGAACCGCAUGGUUCAAUAGUGAAAGACGGUUUUGCUGUCACUUAUAGAUGGAUCCGCGCCGCAUUAGCUAGUUGGUAAGGUAACGGCUUACCAAGGCGACGAUGCGUAGCCGACCUGAGAGGGUGAUCGGCCACACUGGAACUGAGACACGGUCCAGACUCCUACGGGAGGCAGCAGUAGGGAAUCUUCCGCAAUGGGCGAAAGCCUGACGGGGCAACGCCGCGUGAGUGAUGAAGGUCUUCGGAUCGUAAAACUCUGUUAUUAGGGAAGAACAAAUGUGUAAGUAACUAUGCACGUCUUGACGGUACCUAAUCAGAAAGCCACGGCUAACUACGUG
Molecule: ribosomal RNA, 497 nt
Filed under: uncultured bacterium
Lineage: Bacteria
Description: partial 16S ribosomal RNA
Rfam family: Bacterial small subunit ribosomal RNA
Source: RNAcentral